RNAcentral lists this ribosomal RNA (808 nucleotides) under uncultured bacterium. Its description in RNAcentral is "bacterial SSU rRNA". It matches the Rfam family "Bacterial small subunit ribosomal RNA", at positions 8 to 796 of the family's 1533-position model. The record is from RNAcentral.
AGAGUUUGAUCAUGGCUCAGGACGAACGCUGGCGGCGUGGAUAAGACAUGCAAGUCGAACGGGAUUAUUUUUGUAGCAAUACAGAAGUAAUUCAGUGGCGAACGGGUGCGUAACACGUGGGCAAUCUGCCGAGAAGUGGGGGAUAGCUCGCCGAAAGGNNAAUUAAUACCGCAUGUGGUGAGGGACGACAUCUUCCUGAAUCCAAAGCCGGGGCAACCUGGCGCUUUUUGAGGAGCCCGCGGCCUAUCAGCUAGUUGGUGAGGUAACGGCCCACCAAGGCUUUGACGGGUAGCUGGUCUGAGAGGACGACCAGUCACACUGGAACUGAGACACGGUCCAGACACCUACGGGUGGCAGCAGUCGAGAAUUUUUCUCAAUGGGGGCAACCCUGAAGGAGCGACNNCGCGUGGAGGAUGAAGGCUUUCGGGUUGUAAACUCCUGUCAUUUGAGAACAAGGUGCACGUGUUAACUGUACGUGCAUUGAUAGUAUCAGAAGAGGAAGGGACGGCUAACUCUGUGCCAGCAGCCGCGGUAAUACAGAGGUCCCAAGCGUUGUUCGGAUUCAUUGGGCGUAAAGGGUGCGUAGGUGGCGCCGUAAGUCGGGUGUGAAAUUUCGGAGCUUAACUCCGAAACUGCAUUCGAUACUGCGGUGCUUGAGGACUGGAGAGGAGACUGGAAUUCAUGGUGUAGCAGUGAAAUGCGUAGAGAUCAUGAGGAAGACCAGUGGCGAAGGCGGGUCUCUGGACAGUUCCUGACACUGAGGCACGAAGGCCAGGGGAGCAAACGGGAUUAGAUACCCCAGUAGUCC